RNAcentral lists this unclassified non-coding RNA (820 nucleotides) under uncultured Prochlorococcus sp. RNAcentral's name for it is "partial 16S-23S ribosomal RNA intergenic spacer; may also contain 16S ribosomal RNA and 23S ribosomal RNA". The stretch from base 349 to 421 matches the Rfam family "tRNA". The record is from RNAcentral. Lineage: Bacteria; Bacillati; Cyanobacteriota; Cyanophyceae; Synechococcales; Prochlorococcaceae.
UUGUGGAGGAGGACGCCGAAGGUGGGGCUAAUGACUGGGGUGAAGUCGUACAAGGUAGCCGUACCGGAAGGUGCGGCUGGAUCACCUCCUAACAGGGAGACAUCACUGAUUUUGAUGCCUAAAUAAUUUAUCUUUAGGCCAUAAUCCUGUCACCUUAGGUCGAUCGGUACCUCAAUUUUGUUUUGCAGAUCAAAGAAAUUUGUUUUGUAAAUAAAGAAUUUAGUUCCUAAACUUUGUCUAGGUCACACCCAGCAAUGGAACUCCUGGGCCAUUAGCUCAGGUGGUUAGAGCGCACCCCUGAUAAGGGUGAGGUCCCUGGUUCAAGUCCAGAAUGGCCCAUUCGGUGUUGGGGGUAUAGCUCAGUUGGUAGAGCGCCUGCUUUGCAAGCAGGAUGUCAGCGGUUCGAGUCCGCUUACCUCCACUGAUACACCACCUGAUAACGAAUGCUUAAGGAGAAUUUUGCUGAUGUGAACUAGAAUUUGUUCUUACAAGAACCUAGCUUCUUGUCAAUCCACCAAAGGUAAUAAUCUUUUGGGAAGGCUGAUAGGACGCUGGGCUCACUGCAAUAACAAUUGCAGAUAAGUUCAGUAGAACCUUGAAAACUGCAUAGGUGAGUCUGGAAAAAAUAAAGCAUCUCAUUGGAUGCAUUAUUUUUGCCAUAACGUUAAAUUCUGUCUAAUCAGAAUUAUGUUUUGGCUAUUAAGAAAUAAUGUUUAAUUCUUGAGCAAGAGCUAAGACUCUAAUACCUAAACUUUCUUUUUUACAAAAGAGAGAAUUGCUAAUAGCAAUAAAGGUUUUAGAUGUAAUGGUCAAGCUACAA